ACGAGGGGGGCAAGCGUUGUUCGGAAUUAUUGGGCGUAAAGGGUGCGUAGGCGGUUUGGCAAGUCUUAUGUGAAAUCUUCGGGCUCAACCCGAAGCCUGCAUGAGAAACUGCCGGGCUUGAGUAUGGGAGAGGUGAGUGGAAUUUCCGGUGUAGCGGUGAAAUGCGUAGAUAUCGGAAGGAACACCUGUGGCGAAAGCGGCUCACUGGACCAUAACUGACGCUGAUGCACGAAAGCUAGGGGAGCAAACAGGAUUAGAUACCCUGGUAGUCCUAGCCCUAAACGAUGAUUGCUUGGUGUGGCAGGUACCCAAUCCUGCCGUGCCGAAGCUAACGCGAUAAGCAAUCCGCCUGGGGAGUACGGUCGCAAGGCUG
RNAcentral lists this ribosomal RNA (373 nucleotides) under uncultured bacterium. RNAcentral's name for it is "bacterial SSU rRNA". It matches the Rfam family "Bacterial small subunit ribosomal RNA", at positions 525 to 896 of the family's 1533-position model. The record is from RNAcentral.